This is a long non-coding RNA of Oncorhynchus masou masou (cherry salmon), 2367 nucleotides long. RefSeq lists it as uncharacterized. The record is from RefSeq and is a predicted model, not a curated record. Lineage: Eukaryota; Metazoa; Chordata; Actinopteri; Salmoniformes; Salmonidae. The transcript is spliced from 2 exons.
GAUAGCCCUCACCAGGACUCUGGUUCUGUACCCUCAGGUCAUGGCUGAUCAUCCCUUCUUCUUCAUCAUCAGAAACCGCAGGACAGGUUCUAUCCUGUUCAUGGGCAGGGUUAUGACGCCAGAGGUCAUUGAGCCUACCGACUUCGACAAUGACUCCAUGUAACUAUGAAGACGGCCAAUUGGAUUCCAGUGUGCUGCUAUCCUGCUAUGAGGUCAUAUGCUCAAAACCAAUCAGAUCCAGGCAAAACGAGGCCAUAAACACAACCUUUCCUCUCCCCAUCGCUGGCUGUGUUUUUAUACUCUUAUCGAGAAUAUAUAUUAUUCCUAUUCUAUAUAUUAUAUAUACAUAUAAUGUGACUGUGUUUUGAUACUGUAAGCUUUAACCACAAGAGAGAAGGAGAGAGAUGUAAAUACACAACAUGACCAAAAGUAUGUGGACACCUGCUCAUCGAACAUCUCAUUCCAAACUCAUGGGCAUUAAUAUGGAGUUGGUCCCCCCUUUGCUACUAUAACAGCCUCCACUCUUCUGGGAAGGCUUUCCACUAGAUGUUGGAACAUUGCUGCUAUAACAGCCUCCACUCUUCUGGGAAGGCUUUCCACUAGAUGUUGGAACAUUGCUGCUAUAACAGCCUCCACUCCUCUGGGAAGACGUUCCACUAGAUGCUGGAACAUUGCUGCUAUAACAGCCUCCACUCAUCUGGGAAGACGUUCCACUAGAUGCUGGAACAUUGCUUUGGGGACUUACUUCCAUUCAGCCACAAGAGCAUUAAUGAGGUCAGGCACUGAUGUUAGGUGAUUAGGCCUGGCUCACGGUCGGCGUUACAAUUCAUCCCAAAGGUGUUCGAUGGGGUUGAGGUCAGGACUCUGUGCAGGCCAGUCAAGUUCUCUCACACUGAUCUCGACAAACCAUUUCCGUAUCGCUUUGUGCACGGGGGCAUUGUUAUGCUUAAACAGGAAAGGGCCUUCCCCAAACUGUUGCCACAAAGUUGGAAGCACAGAAUUGUCUAGAAUGUCAUUGUAUACUGUAGCGUUAAUAUUUCUCUUCACAGGAACUAAGGAGCCUGAACCGUGAAAAACAGCACCAGACCAUUAUUCCUCAUCCACCAAACUUUACAGUUGGCACUAUGCAUUGGGGCAGGUAGUGUUCUCCUGGCAUCCGCCAAACCCAGAUUCGUCCGUCAGAUUGCUAGAUGGUUAAGCAUGAUUCAUCGCUCCAGAGAAGGCGUUUCCACUGCUCCACAGACCAAUGGCGGCGAGCUUUACACCACUCCAGCCGAUGCUUAGCAUUCCGCAUGGUGAUCUGAGGCUUGUGUGCGGCUUCUCGGCCAUGGAAACUCAUUUCAUGAAGCUCCCGACAAACAGUUCUUGUGCUGACGUUGCUUCCAGAGGCAGUUUGGAACUCGGUAGUGAGUGUUGCAACCGAGGACAGAAGUUGUACACGCUACGAACUUCAGCACUCAGCAGUCCCGUUCUGUGAGCUUGUGUGGCCUACCACUUUGCAGCUGAGCCGUUGUUGCUCCUAGACGUUUCCACUUCACAAUAACAGCACUUAGUUGACCGGGGCAGGUCUAGCAGGGCAAACAUUUGAGGAACUGAAUUGUUGGAAAGGUGCACGUUGAAAGUCACUGAGCUCUUCAGUACGGAUCAUUCUACUGCCAAUGUUUGUCUAUGGAGAUUGCAUGGCUGUGUGCUCGAUUUUAUUACGCUUGUCAGCAACGGGUGUGGUUGAAAUAGCCGAAUUCGCUAAUUUGAAUGGGUGUCCACAUACUUUUGAAAAUAUUAAAGAAAAGUCAUGUUUUCUAUUAUCUAUUGGAUCAGUAGAAAUAAAUUAUAUAUCCAUGCACUGCUCCUUUAAAUUCACUAGCCUCACACACACACACACACAUACACUGUCGUUUUAAGGUGUGUCUCCCAAACCACCACCAUCAUAUCCUUGUACAUUAACUACUGUCUUAGAUACCAGACUAGAUAUUUAUUGCAACAACAACAACAACAAAAAUGUGUGCAGAUAAUUUAUGUAUUUAAUCACACAGAAUCUUAGUAAUUCUAUCUUGGUUCCUCUUUUUUUUUCUCUUUUUUAUGCUAAAAGUACUUGGUUACAAUCCUGAUGAACUAAUAUGCCUUAUGAGUUGUUGAUUUUAGUGGAGGUGUUUUUUAGCAGGUAGGUGAACAGGUUGCUAAGAGGUGUGUGCAGUUGGAGAUGGCGAUGAAACAGGGAGAAAUUAUAAACACCAGCUGUAUUUACUCUUUUACUUGAAAAUUAAAUAUCAUCGUGUUCCAGUUACAAUUGUCUGGUGUCUUUUUGUAUAUAAUUGUAUAUAAUUGUAUUUGGUAACACUACUUUAUAUUAAAUUGCUCUUAUACCUG